This 3269-nucleotide long non-coding RNA is filed under the name Zea mays. RNAcentral describes it as "long non-coding RNA (ZMAY_LNC002336)". The record is from RNAcentral. Lineage: Eukaryota; Viridiplantae; Streptophyta; Magnoliopsida; Poales; Poaceae.
AACCCUAAUCCUCUGAUACCAAGUAAGAAUAUGAAGGUGCUUGAUGUAUUGAUAGGAGAUGGGGUACAAUAUAUAGACUCACAACCCUAACCCUAAUGGCCCGACAGUCCAACAGUGGUGCCGGCCCACUCACACACACACAGUCUAACAGUUUUUGAUGUCUUAGAAGUUAGAACAGACUGUUAUCGUGGUUGUCAUAUAUGUGUUCAUCUCAAGGUAGAUACUGGUAUGGUGUUUUCUGUUCCAUAUGUUAACACUAUUAGUUAUAUGUUUUAAUGGAUGUAAUGAUAUAUACAGAGGAUGAACAACCUUUUGUUUCAUUCUCAUGUGUGCGCAUGCAAAAAUCCUCAGUGAUGGGUAGUAAUUUCCUUUGAUUAAUUUCAAUAUCAUAUUAUAUUAUUUGCUUAUCUGCAUGGUCUAUCCUGUUCAAGGGAAAUCUCCGGAUACAAGGAGGAAAUCUAGGAAAGGUGCAAUUCAAACUAAUGAUGAAGAAAGCUGAUUCGUUUGUGCUAUGUUGCAAGGGGUAAGGUGAUUUUUACUUUUAUUAGGAACUUGAUAGUAACCAACAUGCUGUCUUAAUGCAUUGACUACCUCUAUUGAAAUUCUUCAUGUUUUUUCUACUUGCUUUGAGUAAUACUUUUUCUAGUGUGUGAAAGGGCCUUUAGCUGAUUUGGUUAGGUGGUCUGAGUAGCACUCAGGUCCAAGUUCGACUCUCUGUGGAACAUAAUUUUAAGCUGGGGUUAAAAAACCUCCCUCGUAUGUCCCACGCCAAGCACAUGUCUAAGGCUUAGUCUCAGUCGCGGUCGUUCUCAUAUGGGCUACGGUGCCACUAUCUAUGGGUGGGGUAGAGGUUCAAGGGUUUUCUCGACUUGUGUAAGAAGGUCUUCUUCUUAAUGUAAUGCUCGGGGGCUGUCUUAACCCUCGUAGGUCGAGUUUUUUUCUCUGGCAUCAAGUUUUAUGGGUGAUUCUGUUUAUCUGUUAUAAUCUGCACCCGAUUACUCCCAUUUGCAGUUUUUGCCCAUCGGUAUGGUUGUGCUGCAAUUUAAUGCUUGUAAGGAAAAAUGACCUAUUUGGGGUUUUCAUGUAUUGAGCUAAUGCGGUUUAGAGAAAUCUUAAUUGUCCAACCUUUUUGUAUUAUGCUUAUAUCCAUUCCCCAGAAGGGCGGGCCUAGUACAGCGAUAGAGCCUACCGUCUAUAAUCGGAAGGUCCCGGGUUCGAGCCCCAGCCUCUGCAUAUUAUGCGGGUAAGGCUUGACGCUUAAAGAUACCCUUCCCCAGACCCCGCACAGUGCGGGAAGCCUACGGCACUGGGUACGUCCCAUUUCCCAUGAGAUUUCAUUAUUCCCUUGGGUAUCAUAGAUUUCCUCAUUAAGAAAUUAUUGAUACAAUAUGACAUUGUCUGUUAAUUCUGUGAAUUGUCAUGUCAGAUAUGCCCCAAAGCACAUUUCUCUUUCCAUGUGCUUCUUCCUGGGAUCUGGAUUAUGUUUUAAAUAUUAAACAGAUGUAGGGUUGCUCAUUAGUACAAAAGGAAAUUGCAAUAGUCAAAUUGGAAUCAUAUAUGGAUCACAAAAAAAGAAGCUGUUAUUUCAUUUGCUGGAAUACUUGUUUUUGGCUAAUAGUUUGUUUCUUUUUUAAAAUAAUGAUGAUGUUUGUGCCUCGGCAAAAUGCUUACCUGAACAAAAGUGAGCUGUAGGCCCACCAAAUUUUGAUAACUGGAUUUCACUUCUGAAAUGUGCAACAAUUUGUUUGUGCUUACGGAUAAUGAGAGUUUGUUAAUAAAGGACUCCUUAAUUCAUGCAGUACCCCUGUCCUUCCAUGUCACAGCCUUACUGAUUAUACAUGCGAUGCACUAACUGCUGCCAUGUAUGGUGGUUAUUGCUGUCUGCGCCACAGGUUCCUGUGACAUUUUUUGAUCUGAUAAUUAAACUAUUGGCUUGCAGGAAUAGGCCUUACAGGUAGUAAGCUUAUGUCUUGCAAGCUAAAUUGCUAAAAUUCAAAUAAAUGAAAUCUACAUGUUAGAUAUGGAAAUGCUCUCUUUUUUAUGUACUCCCUCCGUUCCAAAGCAUUAGCCGUUUUAGCUCUUUGUUUUUAUGUCUGUAUUCAAAUGGAUAAAGAUGAACCUAGACACAUAUAUAAAACACAUACAUCAAGUAUUGUGUGAACCUAUUAAUUAACUAAAACGAAUUUUAAUUUGGGACGAAGGGAGUAUGAUUCUGCCACAUCUCACCAUGCAACAUGGCUGGAGCGAGAAUGGCUGCUCCUACAUGCUUGAAUAUAUGGGGACAAACAUCUUGUCACACUUGGAAAAUCGAAAUUAUGCAAACAGUGAGAUUGUGGUGGACAAGGCCAUGGAUUGCAAAGGUGCAGUUGUACUUACUGGUGAGGUUGAGGUCUACCACCAACAUAAUCUUGUUAUUGCUGUCUGAGAUGGGCUUUGUAGAUUUCUCUUAUAGUUCUUUCACAUGAUUCCUAUAAUCUUGAUGGCACAAUUAUUCGUUAUAAAUUGUCAUGCAAAUUAACUGGGUACAAGAUAAAGAAACUCUAUACAUACCAAAUGUUGACUGAUUCUGCAGUUAGUUAUUACCUAUAUGUACUUAACAUUUGUUAUCUGCACAAGAAGAAUCGUAUUUGAUAUCAUGAUGCCCCUUCGGCCAGGCUCCUAAAAGGAAACGCAGUGCAGAGUUUAAUGACUGCCAUGAUCAAUGUACAUUUGGAUGGGAAUGAGCCAUUUGCUGGUAAACCAUGGCACCUGCUACUGUUGAUGUUGCCUCAUCCGACCUGGAAGAUAUAUCUGUAAAUUCAGGCUGAAGCUCAGGUGGUUAUUGUAUCAACAAGCCCUGGCACAAAAGGCUUCGUUUGUAACAAACUAACAAUAAAGCAUCGAUUGACCUGUUUGCUGAAUGUGUGAUACGGUACUUCCAAUACUAGGUCAGCAUCAGUCCAGAAGCUGUACCCUGAACAAAGAUUCUGGAUGGCUUCUUGUGCCAGCUAGGAACAAUGUAAAAUUGAUGUAAGCGUCUGUGCGCACUCCUGAUCCAUGUACAACUAAGUUAAAAUUUUAAACUGUUAUAGAUUGUUGUAUGGAUAGCUCUCAAUUGCUACUGUUCUCCCCUCAUGUUUUAUGUUUGAUUGUAAAAAAAACUUAAAUUGUCACUCAUUAAGGCAGAAAUACAUGAAUAAAAUAGAGGAUCGAAAGACGCCAGAAUUUUGAAAAACUUAAGAAUUUUCAAAAACAUAGGAAUUCUGUAGGAGUAGCUGUUCGGACGAGUU